Molecule: transfer RNA, 91 nt
Filed under: Candidatus Zambryskibacteria bacterium RIFOXYD2_FULL_43_10
Lineage: Bacteria; Candidatus Zambryskiibacteriota
Description: tRNA-Ser
Rfam family: tRNA
About the family: Transfer RNA (tRNA) molecules are approximately 80 nucleotides in length.
Source: RNAcentral
GGAGGAGUGGCUCGAGGGGUUGAAGGCACCGCACUUGAAAUGCGGCAUGGACGAAAGUCCAUCGUGAGUUCGAAUCUCACCUCCUCCGCCU